UACACUCCUGCGGGAGGCAGCAGUAGGGAAUCUUCGGCAAUGGGGGCAACCCUGACCGAGCAACGCCGCGUGAGUGAAGAAGGUUUUCGGAUCGUAAAGCUCUGUUGUAAGUCAAGAACGAGUGUGAGAGUGGAAAGUUCACACUGUGACGGUAGCUUACCAGAAAGGGACGGCUAACUACGUGCCAGCAGCCGCGGUAAUACGUAGGUCCCGAGCGUUGUCCGGAUUUAUUGGGCGUAAAGCGAGCGCAGGCGGUUUGAUAAGUCUGAAGUUAAAGGCUGUGGCUCAACCAUAGUUCGCUUUGGAAACUGUCAAACUUGAGUGCAGAAGGGGAGAGUGGAAUUCCAUGUGUAGCGGUGAAAUGCGUAGAUAUAUGGAGGAACACCGGUGGCGAAAGCGGCUCUCUGGUCUGUAACUGACGCUGAGGCUCGAAAGCGUGGGGAGCGAACAGGAUUAGAAACCCCUGUAGUCCCAUG
This 476-nucleotide ribosomal RNA is filed under the name uncultured organism. RNAcentral's name for it is "partial 16S ribosomal RNA". It matches the Rfam family "Bacterial small subunit ribosomal RNA", at positions 332 to 799 of the family's 1533-position model. The record is from RNAcentral.